AGAGUUUGAUCCUGGCUCAGAACGAACGCUGGCGGCGUGGAUAAGACAUGCAAGUCGAGCGCUGAUUUCAGGGUAGCAAUAUUCUGGAGUCGGAGCGGCGCAAGGGUGCGUAACACGUGGGUAAUCUGCCGUGAAGCCUGGAAUAACUCGCUGAAAGGCGAGCUAAUACCGGAUGUGACGUUGGGGAGGCAUCUUCCUGACUUUAAAGCCGGGGACCGUAAGGCCUGGCGCUACACGAUGAGCCCGCGGCCUAUCAGCUAGUUGGUGAGGUAACGGCUCACCAAGGCUUAGACGGGUAGCUGGUCUGAGAGGACGACCAGCCACACUGGAACUGAGACACGGUCCAGACACCUACGGGUGGCAGCAGUCGAGAAUUUUUCUCAAUGGGCGAAAGCCUGAAGGAGCGACGCCGCGUGGGGGAUGAAUGGCUUCGGCCCGUAAACCCCUGUCAUUUGCGAUCAAACCUCAUCAUUUAAAAGAUGCUGAGCUGAUAGUAGCGAAGAGAAGACCAUGCUCU
RNAcentral lists this ribosomal RNA (517 nucleotides) under uncultured Verrucomicrobiales bacterium. Its description in RNAcentral is "bacterial SSU rRNA". It matches the Rfam family "Bacterial small subunit ribosomal RNA", at positions 8 to 500 of the family's 1533-position model. Lineage: Bacteria; Pseudomonadati; Verrucomicrobiota; Verrucomicrobiia; Verrucomicrobiales. The record is from RNAcentral.